UGAGUACUCCCUCCGUCUCAAAAUUUUUGUCUUAGCUUUGUCUAGAAAUAGAUGUAUCUAAAUACUAAAACUUGACUAGAUAUAUUUGUAUCUAAAUAAAUUUAAGACAAGAAUUUUGGGAAGGAGGAAGUACUAU
Molecule: non-coding RNA, 136 nt
Organism: Hordeum vulgare subsp. vulgare (domesticated barley)
Lineage: Eukaryota; Viridiplantae; Streptophyta; Magnoliopsida; Poales; Poaceae
Source: Rfam